AUUGAACGCUGGCGGCAUGCCUUACACAUGCAAGUCGAACGGUAGCAGGUCUUCGGAUGCUGACGAGUGGCGAACGGGUGAGUAAUACAUCGGAACGUGCCUAGUCGUGGGGGAUAACUACUCGAAAGAGUGGCUAAUACCGCAUGAGAUCUACGGAUGAAAGCAGGGGAUCGCAAGACGUUGAGCUACUAGAGCGGCCGAUGGCAGAUUAGGUAGUAGGUGGGAUAAAAGCUUACCAAGCCGACGAUCUGUAGCCGGUCUGAGAGGACGAGCAGCCACACUGGGACUGAGACACGGCCCAGACUCCUACGGGAGGCAGCAGUGGGGAAUUUUGGACAAUGGGCGAAAGCCUGAUCCAGCAAUGCCGCGUGCAGGAUGAAGGCCUUCGGGUUGUAAACUGCUUUUGUACGGAACGAAAAGCCCCGGGUUAAUACCCUGGGGUCAUGACGGUACCGUAAGAAUAAGCACCGGCUAACUACGUGCCAGCCGCCGCCGUAA
RNAcentral lists this ribosomal RNA (498 nucleotides) under uncultured bacterium. Its description in RNAcentral is "partial 16S ribosomal RNA". It matches the Rfam family "Bacterial small subunit ribosomal RNA", at positions 30 to 523 of the family's 1533-position model. The record is from RNAcentral.